AGAGAAAAACAACAACAACAACAAAAGCAGAUUUACAGAAAAGUUGUGAAGAUGGUGCAGAAAUGUCCCAUAUACCUUUCACCCAGCUUCUCCUGUUGUUAGUGCCUUACAUGAUGAUGGUGUGUCCGGAAUGGGUGGGUUCUUGGUCUCACUGACUUCAAGAAUGAAGCCGCGGACCCUCGCGAGCCCUGCUCUACUGACCCUUCAAUGUGCCCGUGUGCCUAAAUAUUCCUGGUCGUGUGAAAAGAACCCAGGUAUUAGCUGAACUAAGGAGCACAAUUCUGCAACAUUUUGGCACCCAAACACGGGGCUUGAGAAAUGAAUGCAAUUGGAGAAACUGGUUGUUUUACCAGGCGUUGAUUGGAAAUGUGUGCUUCCCUUUAAGCAGUCAAGCUCAACUUGCAGAACUGAUGGGAACCCCUUGGGAAAACUGGCCUCAAAUGUUUGUCUACACAGUCCACAUACAGGGUUCUUAACCUGCGACUGACCCUGCUUGUGCCUGUGAACCAACCAACAAUCUCUGGCUGCAGCUCAGAAAGGACAAAAGAGAAUGGAUGAGGGAAACUUCCCAGGGCUUGUCUGGGUAUGCCCACAGUGGACUGGAGCCCAAAAUGCACACUGGAGGAAGUGGAUGGAGCCACGUGGAUGUCAUGCCUUAUGCAGGGGAGGAGCCUGCUCUCUUCAGCUCCUGUGGUAAUGUGGGAAUCGAUCUGUGAGGAAACACUUUCUGAAAAUGUCAGAACUCUUGAAAACAUGGAUGAGGAAAAGCAUAAGUACUGCUUUAUGCUUUUCUUAUGAAUUUUAAAAGAUGUAAUUUAAAGAUUGAAACUCCCACAACUUUGGCAGACCAACUCCUCAGAAAACAUUAUUCUUUGACAUCAAUAUGUUUUGCACAAAAUUGAAUGGCAAGUGAAAGGCAUCAAAUGCAUAUUUAACUAUCCGGCUAUUUUGGAGAUUGAAAAAAGAAGACCUGAUUUAUCAUGUGCAAUAUCUCACACAUCUGUCAUUUCUAUUCUACCGCAAUUCGAUGGAGUCUUGUUCUGUGGUCCAGGCUAGAGGGCAGUGGCAUGAUCUCGGCUCACUACAAGCUCUGCCUCCCGGGUUCACGCCAUUCUCCUGCCUCAGCCUCCUGAGUAGCUGGGACUACAGGCGCCCGCCACCACGCCUGGCUAAUUUUUUGUAUAUUUACUAGAGAUGGCUAGUGUUAGCCAAGAUGGUCUCGAUCUCCUGACCUCGUGAUCUGCCCACCUCAGCCUGCCAAAGUGCUGGGAUUACUGGCGUGAGCCACCGUGCCUGGCCAGCAUCCUCUAAUUAUUAUUCAUAGUUUGUGAAUUUAGGCCUACGUGAAUAAUAAUAUAAUAUUUACUAUG
This 1370-nucleotide long non-coding RNA is filed under the name Homo sapiens (human). RNAcentral's name for it is "p53 upregulated regulator of p53 levels". The record is from RNAcentral. Lineage: Eukaryota; Metazoa; Chordata; Mammalia; Primates; Hominidae.